UACGUAGGUGGCAAGCGUUGUCCGGAUUUACUGGGCGUAAAGAGCGCGCAGGCGGUCAGAUAAGUCGAAUGUGAAAGCCCCCGGCUCAACUGGGGAGGGUCAUUCGAUACUGUUCGACUCGAAGGCAGGAGAGGGAAGCGGAAUUCCCGGUGUAGUGGUGAAAUGCGUAGAUAUCGGGAGGAACACCAGUGGCGAAGGCGGCUUCCUGGCCUGUUCUUGACGCUGAGGCGCGAAAGCGUGGGGAGCGAACGGG
RNAcentral lists this ribosomal RNA (253 nucleotides) under uncultured bacterium. Its description in RNAcentral is "partial 16S ribosomal RNA". It matches the Rfam family "Bacterial small subunit ribosomal RNA", at positions 524 to 776 of the family's 1533-position model. The record is from RNAcentral.